ACAGCAGUAGCCGCGGGAAUACGGAGGGGGCUAGCGUUGUUCGGAAUUACUGGGCGUAAAGCGCACGUAGGCGGGCCGGUAAGUCCCUUGUGAAAUCGGACGGCCUAACCGUUCGGCGUGCAAGGGAUACUGUCGGUCUUGAGGCCGGGAGACGUCCGAGGUACUCCGGGGGUAGCGGUGAAAUGUUCUGAUCCUCGGGGGACCACCGGUGGCGAAGGCGUUCGACGAGAACGGGCCUGACGGUGAGGGGCGAAGGCUAGGGGAGCAAACGGGAUUAGAUACCCCCGUAGUCCCUGUCUCUUAUA
Molecule: ribosomal RNA, 305 nt
Filed under: uncultured bacterium
Lineage: Bacteria
Description: partial 16S ribosomal RNA
Rfam family: Bacterial small subunit ribosomal RNA
Source: RNAcentral